This 2316-nucleotide unclassified non-coding RNA is filed under the name Hevea brasiliensis (rubber tree). The record is from RNAcentral. Lineage: Eukaryota; Viridiplantae; Streptophyta; Magnoliopsida; Malpighiales; Euphorbiaceae.
UUUUUUUUUUUUUUUUUUUACUAGAUUGUUGGGAAGGACACUCUCUGACAGUGAAAAUUACCAGUUCACAAACAACAAUGAACUCAAAAUUUUCAGUGCACAUUUAUGCAGCACAAUAUUCAUGCAAGUCCCCUAUAAGGAUAAAGGAAACAAAUGAAAAUUUUGCAACUUUCCUAGCAAUGCUUUUUCAAGUGUCAGCCAAAUAUACUCAUUAAUCUCUUCCACUUAUCAACAAUUAUUAGCAUGAAUAUACACUUGAUUUCUUCAAUCCUUUUGGUUUACACCAAGAAGUUCCUCUAUAAAAGAUUGCAGGAUCUGAUCUUUGAUGAGACUACAAUCUAUCAUUGCAAAGGGUAUUGUGUACAUCCAGAACACCUGGAAAAGAAAAUCAAAAGAAACUCCUUAACUACAGAAAAAGAAGCCAAGCAUCAUUGCUCAUGAAAGAAUCCACCCACCAUUAAAACACAGCUAAUAAGGUGGAGCAUUUAACAUUCAUGCUGGGAUGGUAAAUUUUUUCUCAUCAUUAAUCAAUAAGGAUUAGAGUUUUUUACUGACAAAUAUCUUAUCCUUGAAACAUGAUAUUUGAAGUCAGGAACUUGGACACAGGAUCACAGACCUUGCAAGCAAUUGGACAAGUCGUUAAUUGUAAAUAAAUGCAGGCCUACUUGCAGAAUAGUUAAAAUAAGCCUACAUAAUGAAUCCACACCCACUUAGUUGACAUGUCAAAACUUGUGCGCCAUGAGCAUUAUCAACAAACUACAGCAUCUAUGUCAAAAUUAUAACCAUAAAAGACCGCAAAUAGCAUAUGGUAAGUGCCUCAUAUCAAGCCCACAAAUUAAUACACAAAUAUAUAAUUUGCCACUGAAUUGGGAUCAAGAUUGGAUGGAGUUUCAUAUAUAUAUAUAUAUGUACAAUAUGCUUGUAUAUGAAUAUACUUAUUCUAAAUGUCAAUUAGAAAAUGCAAAGGAGAGUAACAUUUGUUGAUUAUUCCAGUUAGGCUCAUUUUGGUUUCACAUGUUAGCAAGUUAGUAAAACUUGCUAACUUCAGUUUCUUGGUUUCAUAUGCAAGGCAAUAUAGGUUGGUUCGGUUUAGAUUUUAACCUAUUCAAGUUAUUUAUGUUUCUUGAAAGGCCUGAAACAAAACGAAGUUAAGUCCACAGAGACAUAACCAAACCAAGUAACCAACCACCAAAAGGCCAGUUGCAUCACUUUGUUGGUUUAUUCAGCUUUAACGGGCAGCAUAAUCAGAGCAAAUUUCAUGAACCAACAAACUAUUCUUGUUUUUAGCAAAAUAGUACACAAAUUAACAAGACAGAUUUUUAUAGUUUGAGCAAUAAAUAUCAAUACAAGAACAGAUAGAUGAUGUAAAAAUGGAGUACCUUGAGUAUGCACAAACGUUGUUAUUCUAAGCACAAGUCCAACAUCCAAAGCUCUUCCAGCAGGAUACUGCUAGAAUUUUCCAGCUCCACCAACAGCCCAUAAACAAACACAAGAAGAUUUGAUGCAACAAUCAAGGGCCUUACGAAGUUUUAUCCUCCUUAAUCUGAAGUUUAGGAAAUUCUUCUUUCUGUGCAGCUCUUCUUUUCGUCUGGAUCUGUUGAACAAAUUCUCUGACUAUGACAUGAAAUUUGGGAGCAAUCUUACUCGGUGAAGAGACAUUAAGACCUGCCUUUCUCAAGGCCCGUGCCACAUAUGUUUCAGCCUUUUGAAAAUGAGGUGGACAGAGUGCAGGGACAGCCGAUCUCAGUAUUGGUUUCCCACAAUGGACAGGUCUUCCCUGGGCACUUUUAACAACAAAGGUGCAGCCUAUAUACAGUUUCUGUUUGGAAUCCAAGAGUAUAUGCGGGUGACAAAACCUGGUCAACGCCAUCGGCGUCGCCUUGCAUCCACCCACCGCACACUUCCUAAUCCCCUCCUCUUCCUCCAGGUCCUCGUCCUCUUUAAACCCUAAUUUCCCGUUCAAUUCUGGAAUUCCAUUUGCAGAAUUCUCUUUAAUACCGUCUGUCUUUCUCUUCUUUUCAUCUCCCUUGAACGGGCUCUUCCCGUACUUCCAGUAGUACUCUUUGUACUUGGCUUUGAGGUCUUCCAUUAGGGCCCAGUAGUGGGUUCGGUAGAUCUUGGCGAGUUGUUUGACACGGCGAGAUCGGCGGGUGAUGACUUCGUGGUGAGUUAAGUGGGCGGAGGAUGAGAGGAAAGAGUCGAGGGCUGAUCCGUCGAUGGACAUGGCCUCGGAAGGCAGAGGAGCAUUGUCCAUGGCUGGGUGAGCGAUGAGCGAGGAGCGAGUUGGGGUUUUACGAGAGAAGAAAAUGAGAAUGU